RNAcentral lists this ribosomal RNA (497 nucleotides) under uncultured bacterium. RNAcentral's name for it is "bacterial SSU rRNA". It matches the Rfam family "Bacterial small subunit ribosomal RNA", at positions 28 to 521 of the family's 1533-position model. The record is from RNAcentral.
GACGAACGCUGGCGGCGUGCUUAACACAUGCAAGUCGAACGGAGCGCUACUGAUAGAGGUUUCGGCCAAUUGAUGUAGUUGCUUAGUGGCGGACUGGUGAGUAACGCGUGAAGAACCUGCCUUCCAGAGGGGGACAACAGUUGGAAACGACUGCUAAUACCGCAUGACACAUCGAAAGGGCAUCCUUUUGAUGUCAAAGAUUUAUCGCUGGAAGAUGGCUUCGCGUCUGAUUAGCUAGUUGGCGGGGUAACGGCCCACCAAGGCGACGAUCAGUAGCCGGACUGAGAGGUUGAUCGGCCACAUUGGGACUGAGAUACGGCCCAGACUCCUACGGGAGGCAGCAGUGGGGAAUAUUGGGCAAUGGACGCAAGUCUGACCCAGCAACGCCGCGUCGAAGGAAGAAGGCUUUACGGGUUGUAAACUUCUUUUAAGAGGGAAGAGUAGAAGACGGUACCUCUUGAAUAAGCCACGGCUAACUACGUGCCAGCAGCCGCGGU